UCAUCACAGACUGCUGUUGAGAAAAUACUGGUGUGCAACACCUACUUUGUACAAAGUCUGCUUGAACACGUAAAUGAAAACGAGCUCCAAGUGCGCUUUUUACACUUGAAUCAUGGCUCAUUGAACUCUGUUAAUUUAUGCAGUCGUACAUUAUAAACGGCAUACUUUAACCCUUGCACAAACACUUUUCAUGUUAAGUAAAGACUGUGCUGGUUAUUAUAAACACACUGCGAAAGGAUUAUUUUUUUUAAACUGCAUGUGAAAGGUUGUCAUUGUCAGCGCUGAGCGAUGGCGCCCCCUGGUGGGAUAAUUAAAACAGCUGUCGACUUAACGUCCCACUUGACAACAAUUUAAAUACAUGCAAUGUUUUUGUUCACAUCAAUAAAGUAUAUUUUAUAUUUUAAAGUCUAA
Hippocampus zosterae (dwarf seahorse) is the source of this 411-nucleotide long non-coding RNA. RefSeq lists it as uncharacterized. The record is from RefSeq and is a predicted model, not a curated record. Lineage: Eukaryota; Metazoa; Chordata; Actinopteri; Syngnathiformes; Syngnathidae. The transcript has 2 exons.